Molecule: long non-coding RNA, 1329 nt
Organism: Manihot esculenta (cassava)
Lineage: Eukaryota; Viridiplantae; Streptophyta; Magnoliopsida; Malpighiales; Euphorbiaceae
Exons: 4
Source: RefSeq, a predicted model, not a curated record
CCUUCAAAGCUUGUAUGUCCCCUGGUGAUAGCCGGAGAACUGCCCAAUCUCUCUCCUCCAUGCAACUGGCGAGCAAACCAACAAAACCACUACACUCACCAAAACCAUCGUUUUCUCUUUUGAAAUCUCUUUCAGGGAAAAAAAAAGAAAAAAGAAAUCUCUUUCUUUCUCCUCUAAAACCUCACCUGCAAUGGCUUUCUUCUCAUUUGGGCUAUACCAUCUCCAACCAACCAAUUUAAGAAACAAUCCGUCCGCUUUCCUUCUUCCCUUAAUCUGUCUUCACUUCAUUCUCAGUUUUGUUUGGCUUUAUCUCCACUUAGAUUAGGUUCAAGAUUGCUUGGCAGUGGUCUUCUUGCAAGAGCUGAAGAUAAACAAAAUAGGGUUUGAGGAUCUGAGUAAGGUUACGUGUUAAGUGGGCGUUUUUUUUGGUAAAUUCAAAGAUGUUUUGGCGUGGCGUCGCCGGUGGAGACAAUUUUGGACAAGGACAACUUUACACUCGAGGAGCUGCUUGAUGAGGAUGAAAUUAUUCAAGAAUGCAAAGCUCUAAAUGGACGUCUUAUCAAUUGCCCAGGAAUAAGGACGGAUCCAAAAGAAGACCACAAGUCCAAAGCCUGUCAGACCAUAUGCUCGAAAGACGGCCCGAUUUCACAAGCCCAGAACAGCAACGCAGGGCAAUUCGGAUCAGAUACGAGCACAGGCCCAAUAGGGAAGCAGGCCCAGUCACUCACCAACCCUGUUCGCACGCGUGACAGGGAGAAUUAAAUGGCCGCUUGGCGUGGAGAAGGGGUCUGACACCUCCGUACGUACGGGCGUGAGUGACAUGGACAGGUAGCACUAUAGACUAGGGGUCUUCUCUCUUUUUAGGGCUCUCUCUUCUGGAGGCUCAGGGGGCUUCUUCUUCCUUCUCCUUCCUGGACUCCAUUUUUAUUUUCUCUCUGCAACUCUUGCCUAAAUAUACUACUUUAAUUCAUGAAAUUUGACUUGAACAUCGGAGGGUCUCCACCGGGGAAUCCCCGGUAGACCCCUGACCGUUUUUCCUUGUUUUGCAAGUCCUUUCAUCAGAUAGAACAUUGAGAGACCCAUUUGAUGGACCCAUAUGAUGGACCAAGAAGGAAGCCAGAUCUAUCAUGGACUAGGAGGAGAAAAAGAUUUAUCAAAUGGCGCCGUCUGUGGGAAACGAAGGAGAUCUUUUCAUCACCGGAGUUCCUAAAUCCACCCAUUGAGAUCCACAUGAAGGUAUGAAAGCUUAUGCGAAAAGAAAGCUGGAGAUUUACAAUAACCCAGCUGAAUAACCUAGCUGAAAAGAAAGAUCCAGCUGGUUCACGAAUA